UACGGAGGGUGCAAGCGUUAUCCGGAAUCAUUGGGUUUAAAGGGUCCGCAGGCGGAUGUAUAAGUCAGUGGUGAAAUCUCUCGGCUCAACCGAGAAACUGCCAUUGAUACUGUACGUCUUGAAUUCGGUCGAAGUGGGCGGAAUAUGACAUGUAGCGGUGAAAUGCUUAGAUAUGUCAUAGAACACCGAUAGCGAAGGCAGCUCACUAGGCCUGGAUUGACGCUCAGGGACGAAAGCGUGGGGAGCAAACAGGAUUAGAUACCCUGGUAGUCCACGCCGUAAACUAUCAAUACUCGAUAUUAGCGAUAUACCGUUAGUGUCUAAGCGAAAGUGAUAAGUAUUGCACCUGGGGAGUACGAUCGCAAGGUUG
Molecule: ribosomal RNA, 370 nt
Filed under: uncultured prokaryote
Description: bacterial SSU rRNA
Rfam family: Bacterial small subunit ribosomal RNA
Source: RNAcentral